Molecule: ribosomal RNA, 119 nt
Organism: Gossypium arboreum
Lineage: Eukaryota; Viridiplantae; Streptophyta; Magnoliopsida; Malvales; Malvaceae
Source: Rfam
GGGUGCGAUCAUAGCAGCACUAAUGCACCGGAUCCCAUCAAAACUCCGCAGCUAAGCGUGUUUGGGCGAGAGUACUACUAGGAUGGGUGACCUCCAAGGAAGUCCUCGUGUUGCACCCC